CCAGAAAGCCACGGCUAACUACGUGCCAGCAGCCGCGGUAAUACGUAGGUGGCAAGCGUUGUCCGGAAUUAUUGGGCGUAAAGGGCUCGCAGGCGGUUUCUUAAGUCUGAUGUGAAAGCCCCCGGCUCAACCGGGGAGGGUCAUUGGAAACUGGGAAACUUGAGUGCAGAAGAGGAGAGUGGAAUUCCACGUGUAGCGGUGAAAUGCGUANAGAUGUGGAGGAACACCAGUGGCGAAGGCGACUCUCUGGUCUGUAACUGACGCUGAGGAGCGAAAGCGUGGGGAGCGAACAGGAUUAGAUACCCUGGUAGUCCACGCCGUAAACGAUGAGUGCUAAGUGUUAGGGGGUUUCCGCCCCUUAGUGCUGCAGCUAACGCAUUAAGCACUCCGCCUGGGGAGUACGGUCGCAAGACUGAAACUCAAAGGAAUU
Molecule: ribosomal RNA, 430 nt
Filed under: humic substances-degrading bacterium HS339
Lineage: Bacteria
Description: bacterial SSU rRNA
Rfam family: Bacterial small subunit ribosomal RNA
Source: RNAcentral